CAGCAGCCGCGGGAAAACGUAGGGGGCUAGCGUUGUUCGGAUUUAUUGGGCGUAAAGCGUCUGUAGGUGGCUUUUCAAGUCCGCCGUCAAAUCCCAGGGCUCAACCCAGGACAGGCGGUGGAAACUACCAAGUUGGAGUACGGUAGGGGCAGAGGGAAUUUCCGGUGGAGCGGUGAAAUGCGUUGAGAUCGGAAAGAACACCAGUGGCGAAGGCGGCUACCUGGCCUAAUACUGACACUGAGGCACGAAAGCGUGGGGAGCAAACAGGAUUAGAUACCCCCGUAGUCCCUGUCUCUUAUAA
This 301-nucleotide ribosomal RNA is filed under the name uncultured bacterium. Its description in RNAcentral is "partial 16S ribosomal RNA". It matches the Rfam family "Bacterial small subunit ribosomal RNA", at positions 509 to 809 of the family's 1533-position model. The record is from RNAcentral.